AAUGAUUCUAAUUCAUCCCAUAGACCUUUAAGUUUAUUGAAAUAUGAAGCUACAUCUAGGGACCCUUGAGAGGUGUGAGAAAGCUCUCUAUUUAAUUCAAAAAAUUUGGUCCUGUUGGCAGUGCCAUAUCUGGCAUGAAGCUGGGACCAUAUACUUUGUGCAGUAUCAGAAUACUGCACACUUUCAGCAAUUUGAGGGGAGAGGGAGGCAGUCAACCAGGAAAUCACCAUAUUAUUGCAUCUGUCCCAGGGUCUUUGCUGAGUCACAUUAGUGACUGGCCGGGGACAUGUGCCAUCAACAAAACCGAUUUUGUUUUUAGCAGAUAACGCGACAAUCAUCUUCCUCCUCCAGCCCCCAUAGCCACUGCCCGAGAAGGGAGUGGACACAAGAGAGAAUCCAGGAACAUCAGAGGAGUAGAUAAAAAGGGGACUCGUAGGGUCCACUAGGAUGUACUAGCAUUCAUAUUAGAAGCCAUGAAUAACAAUCAGUUUGAAAUAAAAAAUAUAGUCUCAGAACCCACAUGCAAAACAUACAACACUUAAAAUAGGGAUAGAGUUACCCUCCUUCUUCGCGACCGGAGAAGAACGGCCUUCAAUCACCAGAUAAAAAUCCUAGGUUAAAAACCCUAGGUCCAACCGCCGGAAACCUUACUAGAAACUUACCGAAAUAGGGUCAUGGAUGUCGGAAAGUCACCCAAAACAUCCACUAAGUGAGGAUCGAGCCACCGGAUAGCAGUAAAACCCUAGGUUCAACCACCAGAAACCCUAGAAU
This 771-nucleotide long non-coding RNA is filed under the name Nicotiana benthamiana. RNAcentral's name for it is "long non-coding RNA (NBEN_LNC016795)". The record is from RNAcentral. Lineage: Eukaryota; Viridiplantae; Streptophyta; Magnoliopsida; Solanales; Solanaceae.